GGAAGAUUGCCAGAGCGGUCGAAUGGGAUCGGUUGCUAACCGAUUAGAGGUUAGUCCCUCUCAAGAGUUCGAAUCUCUUAUCUUCCCCCA
Molecule: transfer RNA, 90 nt
Filed under: Idiomarinaceae bacterium
Lineage: Bacteria; Pseudomonadati; Pseudomonadota; Gammaproteobacteria; Alteromonadales; Idiomarinaceae
Description: tRNA-Ser
Rfam family: tRNA
About the family: Transfer RNA (tRNA) molecules are approximately 80 nucleotides in length.
Source: RNAcentral